Non-coding RNA from Blastocladiella emersonii ATCC 22665, 71 nucleotides. The record is from the annotation of a GenBank genome assembly. NCBI's taxonomy places the organism in Eukaryota, Fungi, Blastocladiomycota, Blastocladiomycetes, Blastocladiales, Blastocladiaceae.
GCACGCAUGGUUUAAUGGUAAAAUUCUACCCUCCCAAGGUAGAGCUCCGGGUUCGAUUCCCGGUGCGUGCA